UCUCUCUCUUGUCUCUCUCUUUCUUGAUGAAAGUUGAUUGGGUGAAGAAUUACACGAGAGGACUUGUUCAUCUUCUUCAAUCUUCACCGUUAACGCAAUGCAUCUUCAACAAAUGUCUCUCUACAAGAUGACUUAUCAGGUUUCGAUUCAGCAAAUAGACAAAAUCGAAGCUUUAAGAUCUGGGUUUUGAAGAAGAUGUGUGGUGGGUUUCGAAUGCUUUCGAAUUUCGUUUCAGGGUUUUCUACGUUUCACUCAGGUCCUCUGGAAUCAAUAACUCAAAGCAUUUGAGCAUAAGGAAGAAGUCAGUAUAGUUAUUGGGUUUCAGAAAUUGAUUCAGAUUAAGAUUAGGUUUCAGAAUCAAAUUUUUUAUGUUGAUGGUCAAGGAGAAGGGAGAUAAGGAUUGAUUUGGGUAGAGACUAAAAUGGGUAGUUUAUGAAUGGUUUCUAGGUUCAAAAUCAAAGCAGAAGAUGAGAAAUUUGGAAAAAAGAUCUCGUUUUGUUGACCAAAUCAGUGAAAACGCCUUCGGCAGAUGGGAUUCUACAAAUGUUUCCCAAGCAAACGAAUAGAACAGAUAAGGUUUUUCUGUACUUUUGUCUGUCUGAGUUGUGGAAGCCAUCGAUGACGAUGGUGAUGAUGUGAUUAAUGUUAUGAGUUUUUUUGUUAGAUUUGUGAUAUUUGAUAAAAAAAUAUUUGAACUUUGAAAAUGUGGUGAUGGAUUUAGAGGAAGAAGGAUUUGAAGAAAGGGGGAUUUGGGGCAAUGGCAAAAUGGAAACUUGAGAAUGGUUGGGAGGCUACUGGUGCAUAGUGACCUCAUUGAUGGUGUUGGCGUAUGAGAGGUUGUCGCCGGUGGUGGCGGAGGCUGAGAUGACUUCCGAUGUCAAUGGAGAUGUGGGUUUUCUUGAGGAAGAAGAAGACCAGGUGAAUGGAUGUGUGUGCGCGCCAGGGGGAGAGAGCCCUCGAUUAUUUUUUUAAUUAUUAUAGAUAAAAAUGAAAGAAAAAUUAAAAAUAAAUACACAAUGGUAUUUCAGUAA
This is a long non-coding RNA of Lactuca sativa (garden lettuce), 1031 nucleotides long. RefSeq lists it as uncharacterized. The record is from RefSeq and is a predicted model, not a curated record. Lineage: Eukaryota; Viridiplantae; Streptophyta; Magnoliopsida; Asterales; Asteraceae.